AUUUAAAUUUUGAGCUUUGAUCCCAUGACUUGAUCUCAAUGUGUUUACCAAAACAAACCAUUUAAGGAUAAUUCUGGGGUUGACCUUCAGCCACAUAACCUAGUUUGGUGGAAAUCAGCCAAAAGACCUGGGAAGAUUUAACCCAACUAACAAACAUGACCUUGAGCCCCAAGGCACAGGAACCCACAUAGAUAUGUGCUUCAAGUUUGGUCCAAAUCAGGAGUGAACAUUUAAAUUUUGAGCUUUGAUCCCAAUGACUUG
Thalassophryne amazonica is the source of this 261-nucleotide long non-coding RNA. RefSeq lists it as uncharacterized. Lineage: Eukaryota; Metazoa; Chordata; Actinopteri; Batrachoidiformes; Batrachoididae. The record is from RefSeq and is a predicted model, not a curated record. The transcript has 3 exons.